GAUGAACGCUGGCGGCGUGCCUAAUACAUGCAAGUCGAGCGAACAGAUGAGGAGCUUGCUCCUCUGACGUUAGCGGCGGACGGGUGAGUAACACGUAGAUAACCUACCUAUAAGACUGGGAUAACUUCGGGAAACCGGAGCUAAUACCGGAUAAUAUAUUGAACCGCAUGGUUCAAUAGUGAAAGAUGGCUUUGCUGUCACUUAUAGAUGGACCCGCGCCGCAUUAGCUAGUUGGUAAGGUAACGGCUUACCAAGGCAACGAUGCGUAGCCGACCUGAGAGGGUGAUCGGCCACACUGGAACUGAGACACGGUCCAGACUCCUACGGGAGGCAGCAGUAGGGAAUCUUCCGCAAUGGGCGAAAGCCUGACGGAGCAACGCCGCGUGAGUGAUGAAGGUCUUCGGAUCGUAAAACUCUGUUAUUAGGGAAGAACAAAUGUGUAAGUAACUGUGCACGUCUUGACGGUACCUAAUCAGAAAGCCACGGCUAACUACGUG
Molecule: ribosomal RNA, 497 nt
Filed under: uncultured bacterium
Lineage: Bacteria
Description: partial 16S ribosomal RNA
Rfam family: Bacterial small subunit ribosomal RNA
Source: RNAcentral